GUUGAAGCCUUCUACCUCCAUUGCUGGCGAACCUAGUUUUAUAUUUCUAUUCUAUUAUCCUUUGUCGGUGGCCUCAUCAUCCUUGAAGUGUUCUCCAAUAGGUGAAUCAAAUUUUGAUUCAACGGCGACGAGCAGGAGAAGGAUUUCUUUAGUCAGGCAAGUUAAAGUGGAGACAGAGUAUGAAGGGCCGAAAAGGUUCUGUCACUGUGGUGCAUUGGCUCCUAGAUGGACAGCUUGGAGUGAGAAGAACCCUGGUAGAAGAUUUUAUGGGUGCCGAAAAUACAACCAGGUAUAUUCAAAUUUGCAAAAGAUAUUGAUGAUGACUUGUUGAACCUGCCAGGGAGGAGGAUGUGGUUAUUUUAGCUGGCAUGAUAAUGAAAUGGGUCAGAGAUCAAUUGAAGUGAUCUCUGAGUUAUUAAGUCACAUAGACUCACUGUAUGGUGAGAAUUUGAGGCUGAAAAGAAGACUUGAGGGUGAAGGGUUAGGUGCAGAGAUGUGCUGAAUAUACCAAGAAUUAAACAAGAUGGAGAGAAGGCAUGCCAAGUUUGUAGCUGCAGCUGAAAGUGGGAGAAAGAAGAUGAAAAUAUUGCAACUUGCUUUGUUGUUGUCUUGGUUUUGUUUUAUUUAUUUAUUCCUUUCAAGGUAGUCAUGAUGGGAAUGUAAAUUUGUGUUAUGUGAUGGAACAAGCACUGAACCAUGAUAUUGUCCUAAUGUGUUUGAAUGGAACAAAUGCUUCAUUUUGUUAGGUUCAUUAUUACUUUA
This is an RNA transcript of Neltuma alba, 762 nucleotides long. RefSeq lists it as uncharacterized. The record is from RefSeq and is a predicted model, not a curated record. The transcript is spliced from 2 exons. NCBI's taxonomy places the organism in Eukaryota, Viridiplantae, Streptophyta, Magnoliopsida, Fabales, Fabaceae.